UACAUGAGCGACAAGCAUUAUCCGCAAUUAUUGGGUGUAGAGGAUGCGUAGAUGGUUUAUAAACUUUAGUUCAACUAAAAAAAAUUAUUUUUUAAUUUGCUAAAAAGUAUAAACUUGAGUGUUAUGGGAGUAAAUAUAAUUUAUAAACGAGCGAUAAAAUGCGAAAAAUUUAUAGGUUAUACCGAUGGUGAAAACAAUUUACUACACAUCACUGACAUUGAGGCAUGAAAGUAUGGUUAUCGAUCAGGAUUAGAGACCCUAGUAGUCCAUACCUCAAACAAUGAGUAUUAAACUGUAUAGUUUAAGUUAACGCGUAAAUACUCCACCUGGGUAGUACAAUUACAAUAUUGAAACUUAACUGAAUUGGCGGGAAUUUAAUUUAACGGUGGAACAUGUGGUUUAAUUCGAUAAUCCGCGAAAAACCUUACCAGUACUGCAGUUUUUUUAAGUUUAUUAAAAUGAUAUAAAAAGACGUUAAGUGCUGCAUGGCUGUCGUCAGUUCGUGUUGUGAGAUGUAGGAUUAACUUCCUAAACGGACGCAACUCGAGAUAGAUGUGUUAUACUACGUGCUUUUACAAUGUAAGUAUUUAGUAUUACUUCUAUAUUUUUAAACAAACAAAAGUUUUUUAAAAUGAAGUCCGACUGAAGUCAAGUCCUUAUGGCCUUAUUGUAUUGGGCUACACAUGUGUUACAAAGAUAGAAACAAAUUGUUACAAUACUUUAACGUGGAGUUAAUCAAUAAAAUCUAUCGUAGUUCGGAUUGUUUUCUGAAAGUUGGAAGCAUGAAGUUGAAAUCGUUAGUAAUCGUAAAUUAGUACGUUACGGUGAAUUUAAAGUUAAAUUCUGCACACACCGCCCAUCACGCUCGGAAAAUGGUGAAAAUAGAAUAUAUCAUCACAAAUACUUUAGUAGUACUGAGUUAUUCUUGUGUUUGCUAUAGAAGCUUUUUGUUGUGAUUUGAGUGAAGUUG
RNAcentral lists this ribosomal RNA (970 nucleotides) under Platyophrya bromelicola. RNAcentral's name for it is "SSU rRNA". It matches the Rfam family "Bacterial small subunit ribosomal RNA", at positions 524 to 1488 of the family's 1533-position model. Lineage: Eukaryota; Ciliophora; Colpodea; Cyrtolophosidida; Platyophryidae. The record is from RNAcentral.